AAAUUUUUUUUCCCCAAUCAAGCUAGAACAAACCACUAAUAUUGCAUUUACCGACAUGAAUUGAAAUUGGAAUUCUGAAUUUUCUUCGCCACUAGACAAUUGAGAUUAGAUAUUAAUGUAGAACAUUGAACACUCAACGUUUUAGAUAUUAUCAUAUUCAUUCUUCAGUUCAACUCACAAAUUUUUUUAGUCCAACAACAUUGAACCAGAGCUCAAAUCUUCCACUCUUAUCUGGUCAUGCCUCCUUCCACCGCUGGUG
Molecule: unclassified non-coding RNA, 259 nt
Filed under: Hevea brasiliensis (rubber tree)
Lineage: Eukaryota; Viridiplantae; Streptophyta; Magnoliopsida; Malpighiales; Euphorbiaceae
Source: RNAcentral